This 1003-nucleotide long non-coding RNA is filed under the name Astyanax mexicanus (Mexican tetra). RNAcentral's name for it is "lncRNA (ENSAMXG00005017181.1)". The record is from RNAcentral. Lineage: Eukaryota; Metazoa; Chordata; Actinopteri; Characiformes; Acestrorhamphidae.
AAAAGUGAAUUGGGGGGAAGAGCAGAAAGCAAAGUGAACAUUUCUCUUUUUCACACAUUCUUGCACACUAGUCAGUCAGUUCGCCCGCAAGGAUCCAAUGGAACAAAGACAAGCCUUAUCGAUUUAGGCGCUCUCGGCCAAUAGCGGCGCUCGGCACGGGUCACGUGACGCCCGGUCUCCCUCUCGCCUCUUUCCCACCGCGCUCUCUCACUCGGGUGAGCGCAGACAGGAAAGCGGGCGGCGGAGUGCCAGUCUGGGUCUGCCAGCUGUGGGACGAGUAGCUGGCCAGCGUUACCGGUGACUGACGGCUCUCCAGCCUUUUCUUUUAAACUGAAGAGAGACGAGGCGAAGCGGCAGCGGUGGUUCUUCUCCUCCGGCUCGCCGGGUUUAGGCUUCUCUAACUGAACGGACUUUCCAGAGCGCUGUUCUGCCGGAGGACUCGCCCUGACGGCGGCAGCGGCGGGCGUCGCGUGCGCAAACGACGGUUGAGGUUAGCGGGCCAGAAAGAGCAGGAGAGAAAAAGAAGGACAUGAAUGCUAUUUCUGAAAAACAUUUGAGCUCUGUACUUUUGACACCAUGUGAUGAAACUAAAAAGAAGAACCUCUGAUAAAGAGCAUGAUUGUAAAGGGAUGAGACUGGAUGUCAUGGUGUUGGACGUGAGAGGGUUCACGCAGCCUGCUGCGGGCCCAGGAAUGUGGCAGAACAGUGCGGGACACGGUGUGGGUUCCUUGUCUGGCUGGGUUAGCCACAUCAGACCUUGCUUUCACUGUACAACUAGCACCCUCUGGCAGCAAAAUGGACACAUGACUGUAGGAUUGAGCUGAGGUUUCAUGGGAAGAGUGUUCAAAACACUGUUUAAUUCAGCUUUAUUGAAGACAAAUUGUAAAUGUGUUUGCCAUGUACAUUGUACAGACGUUUAACCACAUUUUGAAAAGCAAAGAACAGUAUGAUGUCUUCUACAACAAAGAAUAAAAACAGUCCUGAUUUUUUUGAGUGUGUGUUU